AGUGAACGCUGGCGGUAGGCCUAACACAUGCAAGUCGAACGGCAGCACAGGAGAGCUUGCUCUCUGGGUGGCGAGUGGCGGACGGGUGAGGAAUACAUCGGAAUCUACUUUUUCGUGGGGGAUAACGUAGGGAAACUUACGCUAAUACCGCAUACGACCUACGGGUGAAAGCAGGGGACCUUCGGGCCUUGCGCGAUUGAAUGAGCCGAUGUCGGAUUAGCUAGUUGGCGGGGUAAAGGCCCACCAAGGCGACGAUCCGUAGCUGGUCUGAGAGGAUGAUCAGCCAUACUGGAACUAGGACACGGUCCAGACUCCUGCGGGAGGCAGCAGUGGGGAAUAUUGGACAAUGGGCGCAAGCCUGAUCCAGCCAUACCGCGUGGGUGAAGAAGGCCUUCGGGUUGUAAAGCCCUUUUGUUGGGAAAGAAAUCCAGCUGGCUAAUACCCGGUUGGGAUGACGGUACCCAAAGAAUAAGCACCGGCUAACUUCGUGCCAGCCGCCGCUGUAA
This 506-nucleotide ribosomal RNA is filed under the name uncultured bacterium. RNAcentral's name for it is "partial 16S ribosomal RNA". It matches the Rfam family "Bacterial small subunit ribosomal RNA", at positions 29 to 523 of the family's 1533-position model. The record is from RNAcentral.